This 192-nucleotide ribosomal RNA is filed under the name uncultured Nitrosomonas sp. RNAcentral describes it as "partial 16S ribosomal RNA". It matches the Rfam family "Bacterial small subunit ribosomal RNA", at positions 338 to 522 of the family's 1533-position model. Lineage: Bacteria; Pseudomonadati; Pseudomonadota; Betaproteobacteria; Nitrosomonadales; Nitrosomonadaceae. The record is from RNAcentral.
CCUACGGGAGGCAGCAGUGGGGAAUUUUGGACAAUGGGCGCAAGCCUGAUCCAGCCAUGCCGCGUGAGUGAAGAAGGCCUUCGGGUUGUAAAGCUCUUUCAGGAGGGAAGAAACGGUUGCAGCUAAUACCUGCGACUAAUGACGGUACCUUCAGAAGAAGCACCGGCUAACUACGUGCCAGCAGCCGCGGUC